UUUCUAUGGAAAUAUAUUUUUGUAUAUUGCAUCUUAAGUGAAAUUUAUUGAAUGCUUAAAAUAAAAACCUUUAGUGAUUAUUUGUUGGAUACUCAGGCAGUUAACAAAGAGUUAAAUAACGUGACUUAUAAAAAUAAAUAUAUAUUUUUAUUAUUCACUUUUUAUAUGUUAUACAUGUUUUGGUUCGUUUUUUUUUGCAAAAAAGGGUUCAAAACAAAUUUAUGUAUGUGAUUUUCGUUUCCUUUAAUUUAUUACUAAACCAUUUUAAUUUUUCCUCUUUUUAAAACAAAUUUAUAUUUAACAAAAUCUCCUUUUUUCCUUAGCUUUUCUCUUUCGUUUAUUAUUUUCUGUGUCUUUGUCUUUAAUGCUUUUAAAAUUUUUCCUUUUUUUUUUCUUCUACAUCUGUCUUCGUCUUGAAUCACCGAAAAGCUAAAGAAAAUCGAAGAAACUUUCCAAUACCAACUGGAGGAACAAGAACGAGUUUACGGGCCGAUUUCUCCGUUGUGUUUACCUUCCGAUUUAACGGAUUUUCACCCCGAGGGGCUUGGGUCGACACGCAGCAGCCUCUCAUCGGUUUCGGAAGGUUAAUUAAUUAAAAAAAAAUUAAAUACUCUCGUUAAAACGUGUAUAUAAAAAAUAUUGAUUUAUCGAGUUUAACGUAGCCAUUUAAGAGAUAAUGAUUUAUAUUUAGUUUAUUAAAGUUUCUUUUUGAUUCUCUGACUGAGCGUUUAAAAUUAUUUGUAUAAAGGAAUUAAAAAAAAGUAUUUUUAUCCAACACUUUAUAAGUAGAAUUUAACAUUCAGAUUCGAUUGUAAAAAAAAAAAAGAUAAAAUUAAGAAUUGGUUUAAAAAGUGCCUAUUUUUGGCCAUACUUAGCCAAUCGUCCGAAAAGAAUGAAAUUGAAUUAGAUUUUUUUGUCGUGUAAUGUACAUAAUAUAAAUACUGGUAUAAUAUAAUAAUAUAUGAUUUAGAUUUAUAUAGCGGAAAGCAUUUAGUCAAUUAUACCCCAACAACAAGGACUCGGAGUGAGUGAUGCGUUUAUACAUAUAUUUUUUCUACUUAUAGUACCAUAUAUAUAUAUAUUGUCUAUACCGUAUAUAUAUUGUGCAUUACUACUUACAUCAAUAAAUUCAUAUAUACCA
Non-coding RNA from Onthophagus taurus, 1141 nucleotides. NCBI's taxonomy places the organism in Eukaryota, Metazoa, Arthropoda, Insecta, Coleoptera, Scarabaeidae. The record is from RefSeq and is a predicted model, not a curated record.